UUAAAGCGCCGGACAUUCGCUUUUCGUCCUCUCAUUUUCGUAAACAACACCCCCGCCACGAGAAGGCAGUUAAGCAACGUUGGGCCCGGUCAGUACUUGCAUGGGUGACCGGCUGGGAAUACCGGGUGUCGCCGGCU
Molecule: ribosomal RNA, 137 nt
Filed under: Schistosoma mattheei
Lineage: Eukaryota; Metazoa; Platyhelminthes; Trematoda; Strigeidida; Schistosomatidae
Source: RNAcentral